This 140-nucleotide small nucleolar RNA is filed under the name Pogona vitticeps (central bearded dragon). RNAcentral's name for it is "Small nucleolar RNA SNORA8 (ENSPVIG00000007770.1)". It matches the Rfam family "Small nucleolar RNA SNORA8". From Rfam's summary of the family: ACA8 is a member of the H/ACA class of snoRNA that guide the sites of modification of uridines to pseudouridines. Lineage: Eukaryota; Metazoa; Chordata; Lepidosauria; Squamata; Agamidae. The record is from Rfam by way of RNAcentral.
UGCACUGUAUGGUAUCUGCAUCCAGCAGACUCUUCCUGAUGGCAUGUUCAAAAAGCAGUGCAAUAUUCAAAUCAACAUGUGGCAUCGUUGGUUCUCAAGCUGCUGUGCUUGCAGAACCUGGUAGUUUUGUUGAAACAAGC